GGUGAGGCUUAUAUUGCAGUACGCACGAGUCAGUAAUUUCCGGUAAGUAUUUUAAAGCCAUAUACUUAAUUAGUUAUUUGUAUGAAUUUUUCCUCUAGGUGAUCCAGAGAGGCUUGACCUUUGGGUGAGCAACCAAAGAAGAGAGUGCUGGACUCCCAAUUCAUUCUCCCACUUGUGCAGUGAACACUUUGAGAGUCAUCACUUCACCACGGACUCCAGGGGGAGAGUUUGCCUGAAGGACACAGCCGUACCUACAAUCUUCUCGUCCUUUAAGGUCAAAAAACCUGUUCCAAGAAGGGAAGAACAGGUAAAUAGGAAUGACAAGGUGGAAAUGCUGUGUGAUUCCUGUGCCAUGUGGCCCAUGACCUGUGUCAGCCGGUUCUGGAUGUGGCAUAGCUGAGUUCUCUGUAGCAAGGAUUUCUGGUGCUUGUGGCCGUUCCAGAGUGCACCUGGUCCAGUCUAACACUUCACAUCCCAGCACACGCACGAACACAUGCUUGUUGAUGUUUGUUGUUCAUGAUGUUUGUGGUUCAUGGUUUACAUGUUUAUAGUUGUUCAUCCCACGUUUUCUUGAUGACUCUUAGAAAUGUUUCUUCACAGGUGCAGCUGCUGGUUGCUGUUUUUUAUGUUGGUUUCCUAGUUGUAUUAAUUUUUCUCUUAUUUACUUGUUUAUCCUCUAUCAGCAGUCUUUAUUCCAGAUUGGUUCAGCAUUUAUAUGCUGAUGUGGCGAUACAUAACCCAAACCAAUAUUACUCAAGGGGAACCUUGUACACAUUAAGGCUCCUUGUCAUGAGCCGGGGUGAGUACUCCUGUUCUCUUAACCAUCUGUGAGUCUCUUGCCAGGAGAGGGAGUGGCCCAGCUAUUCCUGAUCAGCAAUCAGCGGGGUGCUUUCCUAUUUAAGGUGGAUAGUGGACACAAUUCGACGCCGGAAGAUUGCCUCAGUUUUGGAUUCCUGUCGACCUCACUGGAUACUGACCUCUACUCCAGGAUUCGGAUAUUCAGCACACGGACCAGGAUUUGGAUAUUCAGCACACGGACCAUAUCACCACCCUCCAUAACCCACCUCUCAUCUCACCCAGUGCCCCUUCCACCAGGACGCCCCGCUUCUCUCCGCCUCUGCUCCCUCUCCUGCGCUUCCCCUGGCUCUCUACCUCUCCCUCCUCCAGCCAACACAUACACCCACCACAACGCUGAGCUGUUGUUGCAGUUCCAACCACAAACUUAUCUGUGCACCUUAAGUUCCUCCUUACAAAUAAAUCAUUUUUUCCAUCA
This is a long non-coding RNA of Nothobranchius furzeri (turquoise killifish), 1273 nucleotides long. RefSeq lists it as uncharacterized. The record is from RefSeq and is a predicted model, not a curated record. NCBI's taxonomy places the organism in Eukaryota, Metazoa, Chordata, Actinopteri, Cyprinodontiformes, Nothobranchiidae.